Molecule: ribosomal RNA, 622 nt
Filed under: uncultured Actinomycetes bacterium
Lineage: Bacteria; Bacillati; Actinomycetota; Actinomycetes
Description: bacterial SSU rRNA
Rfam family: Bacterial small subunit ribosomal RNA
Source: RNAcentral
GGGCGUAAAGGGCUCGUAGGUGGUUUGUCGCGUCGUCUGUGAAAUUCCGGGGCUUAACUCCGGGCGUGCAGGCGAUACGGGCAUAACUUGAGUACUGUAGGGGUAACUGGAAUUCCUGGUGUAGCGGUGAAAUGCGCAGAUAUCAGGAGGAACACCGAUGGCGAAGGCAGGUUACUGGGCAGUUACUGACGCUGAGGAGCGAAAGCAUGGGUAGCGAACAGGAUUAGAUACCCUGGUAGUCCAUGCCGUAAACGGUGGGCGCUAGGUGUGAGGGUCUUUUCACGACUUUCGUGCCGUAGCUAACGCAUUAAGCGCCCCGCCUGGGGAGUACGGCCGCAAGGCUAAAACUCAAAGGAAUUGACGGGGGCCCGCACAAGCGGCGGAGCAUGUGGAUUAAUUCGAUGCAACGCGAAGAACCUUACCUGGGCUUGACAUACACUGGAUCGGGCUAGAGAUAGUCUUUCCCUUUGUGGCUGGUGUACAGGUGGUGCAUGGUUGUCGUCAGCUCGUGUCGUGAGAUGUUGGGUUAAGUCCCGCAACGAGCGCAACCCUUGUCUUAUGUUGCCAGCAUUUGGUUGGGGACUCAUGAGAGACUGCCGGGGUCAACUCGGAGGAAGGUAAU